Molecule: ribosomal RNA, 402 nt
Filed under: uncultured Sphingobium sp.
Lineage: Bacteria; Pseudomonadati; Pseudomonadota; Alphaproteobacteria; Sphingomonadales; Sphingobiaceae
Description: partial 16S ribosomal RNA
Rfam family: Bacterial small subunit ribosomal RNA
Source: RNAcentral
UAGGGAAUAUUGGACAAUGGGCGAAAGCCUGAUCCAGCAAUGCCGCGUGAGUGAUGAAGGCCUUAGGGUUGUAAAGCUCUUUUACCCGGGAUGAUAAUGACAGUACCGGGAGAAUAAGCUCCGGCUAACUCCGUGCCAGCAGCCGCGGUAAUACGGAGGGAGCUAGCGUUGUUCGGAAUUACUGGGCGUAAAGCGCACGUAGGCGGCGAUUUAAGUCAGAGGUGAAAGCCCGGGGCUCAACCCCGGAACUGCCUUUGAGACUGGAUUGCUUGAAUCCGGGAGAGGUGAGUGGAAUUCCGAGUGUAGAGGUGAAAUUCGUAGAUAUUCGGAAGAACACCAGUGGCGAAGGCGGCUCACUGGACCGGCAUUGACGCUGAGGUGCGAAAGCGUGGGGAGCAAACA